This 485-nucleotide ribosomal RNA is filed under the name uncultured bacterium. RNAcentral describes it as "partial 16S ribosomal RNA". It matches the Rfam family "Bacterial small subunit ribosomal RNA", at positions 28 to 507 of the family's 1533-position model. The record is from RNAcentral.
GAUGAACGCUGGCGGCGUGCUUAACACAUGCAAGUCGAACGGGAUCCAAGGGGUGCUUGCACUUUUUGGUGAGAGUGGCGAACGGGUGAGUAACACGUGAGUAACCUGUCCUUUUCUUUGGGAUAAGCAUUCGAAAGGGUGUUUAAUACCUUAUGUUCUGUCUGCCUCGCAUGGGGUGGGUGGGAAAGGCUCUGGCCGGAUUUGGGUGGGCUCGCGGUCUAUCAGCUUGUUGGUGGGGUGAUGGCUUACCAAGGCUUUGACGGGUAGCCGGCCUGAGAGGGUGGUCGGUCACAUUGGGACUGAGAUACGGCCCAGACUCCUGCGGGAGGCAGCAGUGGGGGAUAUUGCACAAUGGGCGAAAGCCUGAUGCAGCGACGCCGCGUGGGGGAUGAAGGCCUUCGGGUUGUAAACUUCUUUUGCUCUGAACAAGGCAUGCCAGUGGGUGUGUUGAGUGUAGGGGUGGAUUAGCGCCGGCUAACUACGUG